Molecule: non-coding RNA, 119 nt
Filed under: Fragilariopsis kerguelensis
Lineage: Eukaryota; Bacillariophyta; Bacillariophyceae; Bacillariales; Bacillariaceae
Source: RNAcentral
UCAAUAGAGAAAAAAGAAUGAACAAUUCGAGUGAUGAAGAAAUAAGAGAACUGUUGUUUUGUUGUUGUUUGUGUGUAUUUUCUUCUUUUCUGGAUCCACUUCGAAUUUCUUCAUUCUCU